This is a long non-coding RNA of Oxyura jamaicensis (ruddy duck), 587 nucleotides long. RefSeq lists it as uncharacterized. The transcript is spliced from 2 exons. The record is from RefSeq and is a predicted model, not a curated record. NCBI's taxonomy places the organism in Eukaryota, Metazoa, Chordata, Aves, Anseriformes, Anatidae.
CUCACUUGGACACACACACCAGAACAUCACCUAAAGCAAAUUGUGAAUGGUCAUCUCCUGGGAACAGACAACAAGGGCAUGGGGGUUCUUUAGGGAGGUAAUGCAAGAGGCUGGGACUCAGCAUCCCAAACUUGCUCACGAGGCAGUUUCCAGUUACGCACAGACGUCAUCAGCACCUUCGGUGAACAGUCAGCAAAUGAUGCUAUCAGCAGUAUUUAAUGCCGCCACAGUCUUUGCCCCGAGCAGCAAGUUUUAUGUAUCUAUGAGAAGUGAUGCAACCACAGAUGCAAUUCCCAGCAGCACAGACUGGAUGGAUAAGGAGGGGGGGCAGGGGCUCAUCCUGCAAAUUGUUCCCAAAUGCUCCUUGGACUGUGAACAAGUGGAGGAAAAAAAAGUACAGUGAGCCUACUGAUACACGGGUUGUGGAGCAAGGCCCUGGUGGUCACUAGCUUUUAAAGGCCUAAACAGAAAAUGGAGCCCCUGCCUGGAAGCCUGAUGGGGAAAUUCAGAGCAGAAAAUCUGGUCAAGAUAAAGCCGCAGAGGCCGCUGAACACCAGUCAUUCCUGGGGAAAGGAAUUGACACCAAG